This 552-nucleotide ribosomal RNA is filed under the name uncultured archaeon. RNAcentral describes it as "bacterial SSU rRNA". It matches the Rfam family "Archaeal small subunit ribosomal RNA", at positions 325 to 879 of the family's 1478-position model. The record is from RNAcentral.
ACGGGGUGCAGCAGGCGCGAAAACUCCACAAUGCGCGAAAGCGUGAUGGGGUUACCCCGAGUGCUGUUCAAUGAGGAUAGCUUUUCUCUAGUGUAAGGAGCUAGAGGAAUAAAGGGGGGGUAAGACUGGUGUCAGCCGCCGCGGUAAUACCAGCCCCCUGAGUGAUAGGGACGAUUAUUUAGCCUAAAGCGUCCGUAGCCGGUUUAGUAAGUCUUUCGUUAAAUCUGACGGCUUAACCGUUAGGCCGCGGAAGAUACUGCUAGACUAGAGGGCGGGAGAGGUUGACGGUAUUUCCGGGGUAGGGGUGAAAUCCUAUAAUCCCGGGAGGACCACCAGUGGCGAAGGCGGUCAACUAGAACGCGCCUGACGGUGAGGGACGAAAGCUGGGGGAGCGAACCGGAUUAGACACCCGGGUAGUCCCAGCCGUAAACGAUGCGGGCUAGGUGUUGGGGCAGCUACGAGCUGCCCCAGUGCCGCAGAGAAGUUGUUAAGCCCGCCGCUUGGGAAGUACGGCCUCAAGGCUGAAACUUAAAGGAAUUGGCGGGGGAGCAC